GUGAGGAGACACAAUGGACCUGACGUGUGGGGUCUGAGUCCUACUGAAUCAGCUGGAAGUCUGGAGGACGAAGCAGCAGACCAGGGUUUACCAAAGUGAAGCUGCUAUUCUGUAAAUCCUGUAGGGACAGAGUCAGACACAACAACAGAACCGGACCCCGGCUAGCCCCUCGCUACCUCACCUAACCUCCAGCUCCACGUGCUAACAGCUAACCGGGCUGCACCGUUGGUCGGCACCGUUCUUCCAAAACACAACGUUACCGUCACGUGCGUGCUAUCUGGCCGCUGGAUGAGUUCUUCGUGGAAUCCGAUCGCUGCUGCAGUCACCAAACGGCGGGAAGACGAAGGAUUCGAAUCUCUGAACCAGGAACAUAAACAGUCUGCAGUUUCCUGUUAUUCAACACUCCCAUUCAUUGUCUAUGUAAGAGCAAUACAUUCUGGUCACGCUGUGUUGACAUACCCGUUUCCCAGAUCAGCUGGAUGCAGUAGAGGCGUACUGCUGCCAUCUACAGGUCAUUUCUGGUAUGACAUGGCUAGUGUAGAGUCCAGUACGCUCUAAAAAAACAGCAGCAUUCAUCAAUCUGUUUCUGUUGGGACAACUUCUAGAGAAGUUAUGUUCAACCAACCAAACCCAGUCAGAGAAAUCAGAUUUUCCAAAUGUAUUUUUAAUUACUUAAUGACUGGCAGCAUAAACCCAAGUUUUUAGGCUGAUUUUAUCUCACUGUAACCAGCAGCAGCCUCACAGAUUGUCUUUGGUCAAAAUGUCUUCAAUAUCUGACUGUGGGAUUUGUUAACUUAAUAUCUUGAGUUUGUUAAACUUGCCUUCUCAAGUUCAUUUAACUCUGCUAGUUUUACAUUUUCACAACUGAGCCUUUACUGACUCGGUAUCAGUACAAACUUAAGCCCCGUUCUUUCAUAUCCAUUAUCGCACACAUGGCCUGAAGGGAAAACAUCUGUGGCAGAUUUUGAGCAGCUUUCUAAAACAAAAAUUGUUUAAAACAAAUUUACUUCACCCAGAGGUCAUCAACCGCCACAGAAGUCUUUGUCAUGGUGCCCAUUGGUAGCUAAACUCCCACAAUGCUCUCUGAUUGCCAACAUAAACUGUAUUCUGAGUGACGCCUCCUGUGGUCUCCACAAUAUUAAACAGGAAGAAGCUCCGCCUGGUGGAACAAGCAGGUACUACACCUGAUCUACAUUUACUGACAUCAUGGAGAGAAAACAGGUUUUCUAUGUCUUUUGGAGCCUCAGUACAUCCUACCAUCUAAUACUACAUUUACCCUCUCAUACUACAUUUACCUUUGACACAAAUGACUUCGAUGCUACAAAAAGGAAACAGUCAUUUGUCCAUUUUACACACAUAAACUUUAUUGCAAAGGAUGUUUUUGUCACAUCAACACCUUUAAAUCCACUUUAAUGACAAACAGAUGUUCUUUUCUGUCACGUUUUAAUGUUUCUCGAUGUUCAUUUCUGAGCCGGUAAAAUGACGAUAUGUCUGACGUUAAUACGAAGGGUUUGGUAGCAGAGUGGUCUGACCUACUUUCUGCCAUUUUAGACAAAAACAGGUUAGAAGUUUUGUGUUUUCAAGAACGGUCUACCACUGGAAGCGCCACUGUAGUGCUGUAUUUAGGCUGGUCAGACCAUUCUGCUUCUAACCCCAUCACCUAAAUCAUGAAAUAAAUCUCUAAGGAUUGGUCACUUCAGGAAGAACUCAUUCACAGGAAUCAUGUCACAUUUCAUCCAACAACAACAACAA
This is a long non-coding RNA of Amphiprion ocellaris (clown anemonefish), 1752 nucleotides long. RefSeq lists it as uncharacterized. NCBI's taxonomy places the organism in Eukaryota, Metazoa, Chordata, Actinopteri, Pomacentridae. The transcript is spliced from 2 exons. The record is from RefSeq and is a predicted model, not a curated record.